This is a non-coding RNA of Megalobrama amblycephala (Wuchang bream), 510 nucleotides long. NCBI's taxonomy places the organism in Eukaryota, Metazoa, Chordata, Actinopteri, Cypriniformes, Xenocyprididae. The record is from the annotation of a RefSeq genome assembly.
AUGACCUUCAUCAUCAUCUUCAUCUGGACUCUCACAGCAUUUGCUCAAGAGUGUAGAGGACAGAUCACCGUCACUCAGAGUCCCUCAAUGACAGCAGCUCAACCAGGACAAACUGUGAACAUCAACUGUAAAACCAGCACAGAUGUGUAUUAUCAUAGUUCUUAUGAACAUUUUUUAGCCUGGUACUUACAGAAACCUGGAGAAGCUCCUAAACUCCUGAUUUAUUUAGCAAGCACCCUCCAGUCAGGAACUCCAUCUAGAUUCAGUGGCAGUGGAUCUAACAGUGAUUUCACUCUGACCAUCAGUGGAGUCCAGACUGAAGAUGCUGGACAUUAUUACUGUCAGAGUUGGCACAUCAUCAACAGUAAAGAUGUGUUCACACAGUGAUAAAGAGUCGUACAAAAACCUCCGUCAGUCAGAGUCACAGUGACUGAACUGAUACUGCAGCUGCACUGUUAAAAAAAUAAACGUUAAAAAACAGUUAAAUGCAGGGCAGCACAGGGCGCCAAA